This 518-nucleotide ribosomal RNA is filed under the name uncultured bacterium. RNAcentral's name for it is "bacterial SSU rRNA". It matches the Rfam family "Bacterial small subunit ribosomal RNA", at positions 992 to 1509 of the family's 1533-position model. The record is from RNAcentral.
AGAACUUAGCAGAGAUGCUUUGGUGCCUUCGGGAACUCUGAGACAGGUGCUGCAUGGCUGUCGUCAGCUCGUGUUGUGAAAUGUUGGGUUAAGUCCCGCAACGAGCGCAACCCUUAUCCUUUGUUGCCAGCGGGUUAUGCCGGGAACUCAAAGGAGACUGCCAGUGAUAAACUGGAGGAAGGUGGGGAUGACGUCAAGUCAUCAUGGCCCUUACGAGUAGGGCUACACACGUGCUACAAUGGCGCAUACAAAGAGAAGCGACCUCGCGAGAGCAAGCGGACCUCAUAAAGUGCGUCGUAGUCCGGAUUGGAGUCUGCAACUCGACUCCAUGAAGUCGGAAUCGCUAGUAAUCGUAGAUCAGAAUGCUACGGUGAAUACGUUCCCGGGCCUUGUACACACCGCCCGUCACACCAUGGGAGUGGGUUGCAAAAGAAGUAGGUAGCUUAACCUUCGGGAGGGCGCUUACCACUUUGUGAUUCAUGACUGGGGUGAAGUCGUAACAAGGUAGGCGUAGUGCU